CACGUGGACCCUCUAAACCCCCUGAUUAGGAUGAUGAACAGUGGCAGAUUAGGUAUGGUAUUGGCCAAGAUUGCACCCUCGAUUACGAGGUGCUGAUUUUGCAAUUGUUGAUGCUGAUAUUCAUACACCUCUCAUUCAACACAUUCAGAAACCUUCACUAGAUGAGGUGUUGCUGGUGCAAUAGAAUUGGAG
RNAcentral lists this small RNA (192 nucleotides) under Vigna angularis var. angularis. RNAcentral describes it as "Non-protein coding transcript". Lineage: Eukaryota; Viridiplantae; Streptophyta; Magnoliopsida; Fabales; Fabaceae. The record is from RNAcentral.